UGGGGAAUAUUGCACAAUGGGCGCAAGCCUGAUGCAGCCAUGCCGCGUGUGUGAAGAAGGCCUUCGGGUUGUAAAGCACUUUCAGCGAGGAGGAAGGUGGUGAGCUUAAUACGCUCAUCAAUUGACGUUACUCGCAGAAGAAGCACCGGCUAACUCCGUGCCAGCAGCCGCGGUAAUACGGAGGGUGCAAGCGUUAAUCGGAAUUACUGGGCGUAAAGCGCACGCAGGCGGUUUGUUAAGUCAGAUGUGAAAAUCCCCGGGCUCAACCUGGGAACUGCAUUUGAAACUGGCAAGCUAGAGUCUCGUAGAGGGGGGUAGAAUUCCAGGUGUAGCGGUGAAAUGCGUAGAGAUCUGGAGGAAUACCGGUGGCGAAGGCGGCCCCCUGGACGAAGACUGACGCUCAGGUGCGAAAGCGUGGGGCAGCAAACAGGAUUAGAUACCCUGGUAGUCCACGCUGUAAAACGAUGUCGAUUUUGGAGGUUGUGCCCCUUGAGGCGUGGNUUCCGGAGCUAACGCGUUAAAUCGACCGCCUGGGGAGUACGGCCNCAAGGUUAAAACUUAAAUGAAUUGC
This 571-nucleotide ribosomal RNA is filed under the name uncultured bacterium. RNAcentral's name for it is "partial 16S ribosomal RNA". It matches the Rfam family "Bacterial small subunit ribosomal RNA", at positions 355 to 913 of the family's 1533-position model. The record is from RNAcentral.